GAUGAACGCUGGCGGUGUGCCUAAUACAUGCAAGUCGAGCGAACGGACAAUAAGCUUUCUCUCCUGAGGUUGGCGGCUGGCGGGUGAGUAACGCAUAGAUAAGCUUCUUAUAUUUCGUGGAGAACUUCGUGAAACAGCUUCUGCUACUACAGCAUAUAUUGUACCGGAUAGUUCAAUAGUUCUUCACGCCUUUCCUGUCACUAUUAGCUGGUGCCGGGCCGGAUUAGCUAGUUGGUAAGGUAACGGCUUACCAAGGCUACGAUGCGUAGCUGACCUGAGAGGGUGAUCGGCCACACUGGAACUGAGACACGGUCCAGACUCCUACGGGAGGCAGCAGUAGGGAAUAUUCGGCAAUGGGCGCAAGCCUGACGGAGCAAUACCGCGUGAGUGAUGAAGGUCUUCGGAUCGUAAAGCCCUGUUAUUAGGAAAGAAAAGAUGUGUAAGUAAACACGGACGUUUUGACGGUACCUAAUGAGAAAGCAACGGCUAACUACGUG
RNAcentral lists this ribosomal RNA (497 nucleotides) under uncultured bacterium. RNAcentral describes it as "partial 16S ribosomal RNA". It matches the Rfam family "Bacterial small subunit ribosomal RNA", at positions 28 to 507 of the family's 1533-position model. The record is from RNAcentral.